This is a long non-coding RNA of Bombus pascuorum, 247 nucleotides long. RefSeq lists it as uncharacterized. Lineage: Eukaryota; Metazoa; Arthropoda; Insecta; Hymenoptera; Apidae. The record is from RefSeq and is a predicted model, not a curated record. The transcript has 2 exons.
CUUAAAUACUGGGCAAAUAAAUUCAUUGGCAACUCUGAAGUAAGAAACAAUAACAAUAAUUAAUACAAUUUAAUCUCUACAAAAUAUAAUAUAACCAGUUAGCAAAAUUGUAAAGGCGACAAAGUUACGGACGGAUUUCCUUUAUCUGGUUCCUUAUCAGUCAGCCACUUUUUGUACUGAUCCCUCGCUUCGUUAACGCAUGGUUCAUAUCCAACACGACAAAGGAAAUUUUUUGCCAUUCCUCGCA